CCUGCCCUGAGAGGCAUCGGGUGUGGCUGCUGUGCGUCAGGAAUGGCAGAGAGGAGAGAGGCUGUGUCUGCCCUUAGUGUUCUGCUCUAUGAACAUCGAAAUGAUUAGUAGCCUACCAUU
This is a small nucleolar RNA of Rattus norvegicus (Norway rat), 120 nucleotides long. Ensembl annotates it as small nucleolar RNA SNORA17. The record is from Ensembl. Lineage: Eukaryota; Metazoa; Chordata; Mammalia; Rodentia; Muridae.